CUCCAUCCAGCACGGAUCCUUCCCGCUGUCCAGCACCAACUCGUGCAGCUCCACGUAGCCCUCAUAGGUGUCCCUGUGGGCCGUGGGCUGUCGGCUCCCCGCCGCCUCCAGGUCCACAUCGCUCACCAAUGGAUUGCUCAUCGUCCCCAGGGAUGUCCUGGAGCCCUUGGUGUCCUCGUAGCCCUCGGGGUCCAGGCUCCUGCGUAGCGCGUCCUCGGUGUCCUGGCCGGGCCCCUCCAUGGCUCCACUCACCCCCCCGCUGCGUGCCGGCGCUCAGCCUGGCGGCACCAUGCCCCGCUCUGGGGACGCCGCCGCCACCCCCGGCUCUGCGCAGCACCGGGACAGGAUCCC
This 351-nucleotide long non-coding RNA is filed under the name Gallus gallus (chicken). The record is from RNAcentral. Lineage: Eukaryota; Metazoa; Chordata; Aves; Galliformes; Phasianidae.